Molecule: ribosomal RNA, 253 nt
Filed under: uncultured bacterium
Lineage: Bacteria
Description: partial 16S ribosomal RNA
Rfam family: Bacterial small subunit ribosomal RNA
Source: RNAcentral
UACGUAGGGUGCAAGCGUUAAUCGGAAUUACUGGGCGUAAAGCGUGCGCAGGCGGUUUUGUAAGUCUGUCGUGAAAUCCCCGGGCUCAACCUGGGAAUUGCGAUGGAGACUGCAAGGCUAGAAUCUGGCAGAGGGGGGUAGAAUUCCACGUGUAGCAGUGAAAUGCGUAGAGAUCUGGAGGAACACCGAUGGCGAAGGCAGCCUUCUGGGCCAACACUGACGCUCAUGCACGAAAGCGUGGGGAGCAAACAGG